Molecule: small nucleolar RNA, 138 nt
Organism: Ornithorhynchus anatinus (platypus)
Lineage: Eukaryota; Metazoa; Chordata; Mammalia; Monotremata; Ornithorhynchidae
Source: RefSeq, a predicted model, not a curated record
CCCCUCUCAGGAUCACACCUGGAGAGUUUCCAGUACUCUAUUAGUCUUGGUUGAGGGAGGAAGAGUCAAGCAGAGGCAUAUCCAUUCCAUUCUUAACUUGGGCAGUGGCUAGAAAAUGGAAGGCAAUCUGCUACAAGU